GUGUUGUAAGGAAGGAGAGAAUGUUCGCACUCCUCUAGACAAGGAUGGAAGAGGCCCUCAGGCCUAAUAAUACGCAUACGGUUAAGGCAUUGCCACUUACUUCGGGGCAUCUAACCAUUGUUUUUU
Small nuclear RNA from Rhinolophus ferrumequinum (greater horseshoe bat), 126 nucleotides. Lineage: Eukaryota; Metazoa; Chordata; Mammalia; Chiroptera; Rhinolophidae. The record is from Ensembl.